AGUGAACGCUGGCGGUAGGCCUAACACAUGCAAGUCGAACGGCAGCACAGGAGAGCUUGCUCUCUGGGUGGCGAGUGGCGGACGGGUGAGGAAUACAUCGGAAUCUACUUUUUCGUGGGGGAUAACGUAGGGAAACUUACGCUAAUACCGCAUACGACCUACGGGUGAAAGCAGGGGAUCUUCGGACCUUGCGCGAUUGAAUGAGCCGAUGUCGGAUUAGCUAGUUGGCGGGGUAAAGGCCCACCAAGGCGACGAUCCGUAGCUGGUCUGUGAGGAUGAUCAGCCACACUGGAACUGAGACACAGCCCGGACUCCUACGGGAGGCAGCAGUGGGGAAUAUUGGACAAUGGGCGCAAGCCUGAUCCAGCCAUACCGCGUGGGUGAAGAAGGCCUUCUGGUUGUAAAGCCCUUUUGUUGGGAAAGAAAUCCAGCUGGUUAAUAGCCGGUUGGGAUGACGGUACCCAAAGAAUAAGCGCCGGCUAACUUCGUGCCAGACGCCGCCGUAA
Molecule: ribosomal RNA, 506 nt
Filed under: uncultured bacterium
Lineage: Bacteria
Description: partial 16S ribosomal RNA
Rfam family: Bacterial small subunit ribosomal RNA
Source: RNAcentral